This 300-nucleotide unclassified non-coding RNA is filed under the name Hevea brasiliensis (rubber tree). Lineage: Eukaryota; Viridiplantae; Streptophyta; Magnoliopsida; Malpighiales; Euphorbiaceae. The record is from RNAcentral.
UAGAAGCUUUUGCCUUUAGAGUUGGGAGACCAAGGAGACCUAGAGCUGUUUUGUAGUUGAGAAGACUUAUCGGUCAAGGGCGAGCUGAUCGGUGUUGACUCCGGCAAGAAAGGUGGCCGGAAUAUCUAUCACGCGUCGAUACGUGUAAUAAUUUUGGUGAUACUGCGGCAGCGCAUGAACGUUAACGGUGAGGAUUCCAAUGACUUAGAUGGGUGGUGUAGUCCAACCCCCUCUAGAAAAGGGUGUAUAGGAACGGCAGUGCCGUUUUCAACAAAAAUAGGGGAAGUCUGAUGAAGAACA